RNAcentral lists this ribosomal RNA (253 nucleotides) under uncultured prokaryote. Its description in RNAcentral is "partial 16S ribosomal RNA". It matches the Rfam family "Bacterial small subunit ribosomal RNA", at positions 524 to 776 of the family's 1533-position model. The record is from RNAcentral.
UACGAAGGGUGCAAACGUUGCUCGGAAUCAUUGGGCGUAAAGCGCACGUAGGCGGCGUUCUAAGUCGGAUGUGAAAUCCCUCGGCUCAACCGAGGACGUGCAUCCGAAACUGGAAUGCUCGAGUAUGCAAGAGGGUCGCGGAAUUCUCGGUGUAGAGGUGAAAUUCGUAGAUAUCGGGAGGAACACCAGUGGCGAAGGCGGCGACCUGGGGCAAUACUGACGCUGAGGUGCGAAAGCGUGGGGAGCAAACAGG